Molecule: long non-coding RNA, 2884 nt
Organism: Brachypodium distachyon (stiff brome)
Lineage: Eukaryota; Viridiplantae; Streptophyta; Magnoliopsida; Poales; Poaceae
Exons: 2
Source: RefSeq, a predicted model, not a curated record
UCUGUGCUCUCUGCAGCACCUUCCCCCGAGUACCGUGUUGUAUUUUUGUAAAGGUCGAUCGAGUUUUAUGACGUGGUUUCGUUUCGCUUGAGAUUUCUUUAAAAAAAAAACUCGACAUUGAGAUGUAUGUCGUUGAUGUAGCCGAAUUGAGUACCUUUGAGCAUUCCGGUUACAUUCCGUUAAUGUCAAAAAUUAGUGUCAUUUAUUCUAAAGUUUUCAGAAAAGGUUAGGCUCUUUAAUUAUUUUCAACGUUCCAGGUUGUAAAGGAAGAAAAAGAAAAUUCCAAAACUCCACACGAAUCGCAGUUCGCGCGAGGCAAUCAUCGCACGUCUUUUCUUUUCCUUCUUUUCCGAGCCGGACCGCACGGCAUUUAGACCAAAUUUGAUCUAGCUUGCGAUUACCAUUCUACUAUGCAUGAUCCACUCAGUGAUCAUAACUCCACUGUGAAGACUUUACAGGCCUCUCAACUUUAUGUGUAGAAUUGUCUGCGGCAUUGAUACAUGCAGGACACGACAGGACACCUUCGUUUUCCAUUGUUUUGCAUUGACACAUGCUUCGCUUUGUCUUUGGGUACGGGAAACGAGGCCUAGCUUUUCGGUGAAAACAACUCGAGAGCGCACAGGAUCGAUGAGGCGAUAUCGAGGCAUUCUCGAAUGUAAAUUCACGGGGUGAUUUUCAUUUUAUCUUCGAUUGGUGAGUUUGCUCUGAACUUGGGAAGAAGAAAAUAAAAAUCUGGAGAUGCGUCUGGUUGGGGCCAGAACGGACACGGUGAGACGCAAAACAAAACAAAUAUUAUUUCUUUUUCAGUUGCUCUAACUCGUCUGUUUUUUUUUUACUCUGUGUUUGGAAAGAGACAGCGAAGGAAGAAACCAAAGCGAGUGCCUCUCACGAAAAGAAACGCAAAUACUCUUCUUCUUUUUUAAAAAAAAUUCCUCUCGAUUUUUUUUGACAUCUUGGAUUCUUUGCCGCUGGCCAGUUUCCCUUAGAUUCCUUUCUUGAAAAAGUUUUUCUUCGCCGUAUUUUGUUUUCUAACCGGUAACUUCUUUUCCGUUAGACAGAAGACACUGCCGAAGGUCAAGUCUCAGUGCUCGUUCUCCACGAUCUCCACUACUGCCAUGUUUGUAUGCCUCAUAUAUAUGUACCUCUGAACCGAUACAAUCGAGUUAAUCAAGAAAUAUUCCUCUCCAAAGCUAUCUCUCUCUCAAAUUAACAUGGUAUCAGACGCUUAGGUAUCUCCUACGGCCCCUCCACCGCCGCCGCCUCCGAACUUUGGCGUCUCCGGCUCCGGUGACAAAAGCUCUGCCUCCACCCCCAUCUCUCUCAGCGACACUAUUGCUGAUGUUAGCCCCUACAUCUCAGUCGUCCUCGAUCUUUCUGCCCACAACUAUUACCACUGGCGGCAUCUGUUUCACAUCCAUCUCGGCCGUUGCGGUCUCCGCCACCACAUCGACGACGGCAAUGUCGCCCAUCCCCUCGAUCCGCGCUGGGUGAAAGAUGAUCUCGGGAUCAUCCAGUGGAUCUACACCAGGAUCUCCACCGAACUCUUCAAUCUGGUUGCGAGGGAUGGCGCACCGCUCAUGAUCUAUGGGCGGAUCUCCGUCGCCUCUUUCAAGACAACAGCGACGCCCGCAUCAACGCCCUCCACGUCGAGCUCCGCAUGAUCUCUCAAGGCGACACACCCGUGAGUGUCUACUGCCAAAGGAUCAAAGCAAUCGGCGACGAGCUGCGCAAACUGGGCGAUCAAGGCGAAGAUCGCACCCUCAUAACCGCUCUCCACAUCGGCCUCAAUGAACGCUUCGACAAGCAGACCUCCUUCAUCCCAAUGAUCAAGCCGCCACCAACCUUCUCCGAGGUGCGCUCCAUGCUGCAGAUGGAAGACAUGACACAGGUGCGCAAUAGCUCUCGUCCACAGAUGUUUCACACCACGGCUCGAUCUAUGCCGCCGCCACCUGCACCAACCGCUACUCCACCGACACAAACGGGGGCGCCGCAACCACCUCCUGGAUGGCGUCCAAGUCCUAACUACAAAGGCAAGAACCCUGUGUACCGGCCUCCUGCUCCUCGUCCACCUGCGGCAGUUCCGGGAACUUCUGCACCAACCGCUUGGCGCGCCCCGACGCAAGAUCCCUGAACUGGGUUAGUUCAGGCCUAGCUGAUGCCAUGGACAACGACGCCGCCUCCGGCAUUGACCCCUGCACCUCCUGCCGCCUAGACAACUGUUCCUCAUCCCCACACCGGCUCUCCUGGUCUUCUUGGUCCGGUGUACCAAUCUUCACCGACUCCAGCGCCGUACUCUUCACCGCCCGGUUAUCCUCCUGCACCACAGUACCAUCCGGCUUCAUCGUACCAGUACCAAGCAGUACCACAGUACCAGUUGGCUCCAUCGAACCAGUACCAAGCAGCACCAUAAUACCAGUCGGCAUCUCCUUCAACUCUGGCUUCUACAUCUUCGGCUGCUGCUGGAUCUUGAUCGACUGCACCUCAAUGGGAUCAAACUGCCUUCAUCGCCGCCAUGAACAACUACGCUGCUCAGGGAGAAGGAUCUUCAAACCCGGGAGGUGAUCGUUCGCUUCAAUAGCUCAGGUGACCUGCACCCCCUGUCGACGGCUUCGUCUGCCCAAGCUCCCUCCACAUUCCAUGCAUCCGUCGACAUCUGGCACCGGCACUUAGGGCAUCCCAACAACAAAACCUUGUCUAGUUUACUUUCAGACUUUCAGAUUCCAUGUAGCUGUGAUUUGCACAAUUCUAGUCUUUGUGAUGCUUGUCAAAAGGGAAAGCAUGUUCGUCUCCCUUUCAGUACUUCUACUACUCGUUGUAUUUCCCCCUUUGAAUUACUACAUUGUGAUGUUUGGACCUCUCCUGUGCAUAGUGUCUCGGGUUUUAA